RNAcentral lists this ribosomal RNA (254 nucleotides) under uncultured bacterium. Its description in RNAcentral is "partial 16S ribosomal RNA". It matches the Rfam family "Bacterial small subunit ribosomal RNA", at positions 524 to 776 of the family's 1533-position model. The record is from RNAcentral.
UACGUAGGUGGCAAGCGUUGUCCGGAAUUAUUGGGCGUAAAGCGCGCGCAGGCGGCCUCCUAAGUCCGAUGUGAAAGCCCACGGCUCAACCGUGGAGGGUCAUUGGAAACUGGGGGGACUUGAGUGCAGGAGAGAAGAGUGGAAUUCCACGUGUAGCGGUGAAAUGCGUAGAGAUGUGGAGGAACACCAGUGGCGAAGGCGACUCUUUGGCCUGUAACUGACGCUGAGGCGCGAAAGCGUGGGGAGCAAACAGG